AUGCAAGUCGAACGAGAAAGUGGAGCAAUCCAUGAGUAAAGUGGCGCACGGGUGAGUAACACGUGACUAACCUACCCUUGAGUGGGGAAUAACUUCGGGAAACCGAGGCUAAUACCGCAUAACACCUACGGGUCAAGGGAGCAAUUCGCUUAAGGAGGGGGUCGCGGCAGAUUAGUUAGUUGGCGGGGUAAUGGCCCACCAAGACAGUGAUCUGUAUCCGGCCUGAGAGGGCGCACGGACACACUGGAACUGAAACACGGUCCAGACUCCUACGGGAGGCAGCAGUGGGGAAUUUUGCGCAAUGGGGGAAACCCUGACGCAGCAACGCCGCGUGGAGGAUGAAGUCUCUUGGGACGUAAACUCCUUUCGAUCGGGACGAUAAUGACGGUACCGGAAGAAGAAGCCCCGGCUAACUUCGUGCCAGCAGCCGCGGUAAUACGAGGGGGGCGAGCGUUGUUCGGAAUUAUUGGGCGUAAAGGGUGCGUAGGCGGUUCGGUAAGUCUUGUGUGAAAUCUUCGGGCUCAACUCGAAGUCUGCACGAGAAACUGCCGGGCUUGAGUGUGGGAGAGGUGAGUGGAAUUUCCGGUGUAGCGGUGAAAUGCGUAGAUAUCGGA
This 614-nucleotide ribosomal RNA is filed under the name uncultured soil bacterium. Its description in RNAcentral is "bacterial SSU rRNA". It matches the Rfam family "Bacterial small subunit ribosomal RNA", at positions 55 to 701 of the family's 1533-position model. The record is from RNAcentral.